GGGGGUGAGGACGAUCUGGCUGCAACAUCUGUCACCCCAAUGAUAGCCAGGGUUGAUUUGGCUGAUCUGGCUGGCUGGGCGGGUGUCCUCUUCCUCCCUCACCGCUCCAUGUGCGUCCCUCCCAAAGCUGCAUGCUCGGUAGAUGAUGAUGGCCUUCCCCAAAUAGGGACGGACUGAUCUUUGGUCAAGGGUAUAAGAGUAACUGCGCUUCCCUGCUAGAACCUCCAAACAAGAUCUCAAGGAAACAGUUGAGAGUUAAAUAAUCACGAGGGACCCAGUUAGAAAGGGGUUUCAGUUUUG
Molecule: small nuclear RNA, 300 nt
Filed under: Sorex araneus (European shrew)
Lineage: Eukaryota; Metazoa; Chordata; Mammalia; Eulipotyphla; Soricidae
Description: 7SK RNA (ENSSARG00000015906.1)
Rfam family: 7SK RNA
About the family: 7SK was discovered as an abundant small nuclear RNA in the mid-70s but a possible function has only recently been suggested.
Source: RNAcentral